Molecule: transfer RNA, 73 nt
Filed under: Ixodes scapularis (black-legged tick)
Lineage: Eukaryota; Metazoa; Arthropoda; Arachnida; Ixodida; Ixodidae
Rfam family: tRNA
About the family: Transfer RNA (tRNA) molecules are approximately 80 nucleotides in length.
Source: Rfam by way of RNAcentral
UCCUGGCUAGCUCAGUUGGUAGAGUGCUCCACUGGAAAUGGAGGGAUCGCUGGUUUAAUAUCAGGACCAGGCG